This 616-nucleotide ribosomal RNA is filed under the name Pluteus longistriatus. Its description in RNAcentral is "eukaryotic LSU rRNA". The stretch from base 222 to 375 matches the Rfam family "5.8S ribosomal RNA". The record is from RNAcentral. Lineage: Eukaryota; Fungi; Basidiomycota; Agaricomycetes; Agaricales; Pluteaceae.
AAGGAUCAUUAUUGAACAAACCGGUGUGGCUGAGCUGGCCUUUUCGAAGGCAUGUGCACGGCCCGCCAUUGUUUCAUCCUUCUCUUCCACCUGUGCACUUCUGUGGGCCCACUCCAGCACACGCCUUAGUGCGCUGGAACCUGGUGCCUACGUUUCACUAUCUACACCAUUGAAUGUUCAGAAUGCAUGAAUUGGGCGUUACUGCCUAUAAAACCUUAUACAACUUUCAACAACGGAUCUCUUGGCUCUCGCAUCGAUGAAGAACGCAGCGAAAUGCGAUAAGUAAUGUGAAUUGCAGAAUUCAGUGAAUCAUCGAAUCUUUGAACGCACCUUGCGCUCCUUGGCAUUCCGAGGAGCAUGCCUGUUUGAGUGUCAUUAAAUCAUCAACCACCUCAUCUUUGAGAGGGUUGGACUUGGAGGUUCUGCUGGCCCUCUCCGGGACCCGGCUCCUCUGAAAAGCAUUAGCAGGGGCUCAUCUUGUGCGAUCUGCAGCCUUGUGUGAUAGUUAUCUACACUCGGCGCGGUCACAUUCACCCAGCUUACAACCGUCUGCCAGCGCGGACAACUUAUUUGACCACUUGACCUCAAAUCAGGUAGGACUACCCGCUGAACUUAA